Rattus norvegicus (Norway rat) is the source of this 115-nucleotide non-coding RNA. Ensembl annotates it as small Cajal body-specific RNA 3. The record is from Ensembl. NCBI's taxonomy places the organism in Eukaryota, Metazoa, Chordata, Mammalia, Rodentia, Muridae.
GAUGGAAGCCGCAGAGCCAGCCAUGUAGACAAAUGAGAAAAAUACCUUCUGUCUGCAGAAGGCAACAGUCCCACAUAAACAUGAGAUCUCUGUGAACUGCCGCUCUAAAUACUGU